AGAUGUUCACAUGGAACACACGAAUAUCACCAGACACCAUGUAAAGCUAUAGAGAAUACCUUGUGGUUCCACGCAAUCCCGAGCCUCUUAAAAGAGUUAACCCGCUGAAGGAAACCUGCCAUGACAACAAAACCAACAAAGUUAAUAGAAGGGCCAGACCACACCCCAUGCAUCCGAAUUUUUUUAAGCUCUACCGAUAUAGCGUGACCUCACAUUUGUUCUUCACAGAAGGGGUGACUAUUUGCCUAGCUUGUUGUUUUCGGCAUGAUAAAAAAAGUACAAGGAAAUAUUUCCGCUCACCAGGAUCCCGGCCAAGUGAGCACACACCUCUGAUCAUUUUGCUCAAACCUCUCUCUGGUUAUUUGUUGUCCAAGAACCUUGUGAGGCACCGGUCCAAAAGAAAAGAAAGCCAAUCCGACAAAAUGUUCGACUCUGAGGGAAUGAAUUGAUUUGCGAGUAUUUUGUGAACUGCUGAUACCUGACAGUCGGCGAUGGAUGCCGACGACGCAGG
This 511-nucleotide long non-coding RNA is filed under the name Triticum aestivum (bread wheat). RNAcentral's name for it is "long non-coding RNA (TAES_LNC015309)". Lineage: Eukaryota; Viridiplantae; Streptophyta; Magnoliopsida; Poales; Poaceae. The record is from RNAcentral.